UACGUAGGUGGCAAGCGUUGUCCGGAAUUAUUGGGCGUAAAGCGCGCGCAGGCGGUCUUUUAAGUCUGAUGUGAAAGCCCACGGCUCAACCGUGGCGGGUCAUUGGAAACUGGAGGACUUGAGUGCAGAAGAGGAAAGUGGAAUUCCACGUGCAGCGGUGAAAUGCGUAGAGAUGUGGAGGAACACCCGUGGCGAAGGCGACUUUCUGGUCUGUAACUGACGCUUAGGCGCGAAAGCGUGGGGAGCAAACAGG
This 253-nucleotide unclassified non-coding RNA is filed under the name uncultured Caryophanaceae bacterium. RNAcentral's name for it is "uncultured Planococcaceae bacterium contains 16S-23S intergenic spacer region". It matches the Rfam family "Bacterial small subunit ribosomal RNA", at positions 524 to 776 of the family's 1533-position model. The record is from RNAcentral. Lineage: Bacteria; Bacillati; Bacillota; Bacilli; Caryophanales; Caryophanaceae.